RNAcentral lists this ribosomal RNA (460 nucleotides) under uncultured bacterium. RNAcentral describes it as "partial 16S ribosomal RNA". It matches the Rfam family "Bacterial small subunit ribosomal RNA", at positions 338 to 795 of the family's 1533-position model. The record is from RNAcentral.
CCUACGGGUGGCAGCAGUGAGGAAUAUUGGUCAAUGGGCGGGAGCCUGAACCAGCCAAGUCGCGUGAGGGAAGAAGGUACUGAGUAUUGUAAACCUCUUUUGCCAGGGGACAAAGGCGUCCACGGGUGGCCGUAAGAGGGUACCUGACUAAGAAGCCCCGGCUAACUACGUGCCAGCAGCCGCGGUAAUACGUAGGGGGCGAGCGUUAUCCGGAUUCACUGGGUGUAAAGGGAGCGUAGACGGCUAAGCAAGCCAGGGGUGAAAGCCCGGGGCCCAACCCCGGGACUGCCGUUGGAACUGGAUGGAUGGAGUGCGGGAGGGGCAGGCGGAAUUCGUGGUGUAGCGGUGAAAUGCGUAGAUAUCAGGAGGAACACCGGCGGCGAAGGCGGCCUGCUGGACCGCGACUGACGUUGAGGCUCGAAAGCGUGGGGAGCGAACAGGAUUAGAUACCCUAGUAGUC